UGGGGAAUAUUGGACAAUGGGCGAAAGCCUGAUCCAGCCAUGCCGCGUGAGUGACGAAGGCCUUAGGGUUGUAAAACUCUUUCGUCGGGGACGAUAAUGACGGUACCCGAAGAAGAAGCUCCGGCUAACUUCGUGCCAGCAGCCGCGGUAAUACGAAGGGAGCUAGCGUUGUUCGGAAUCACUGGGCGUAAAGCGCACGUAGGCGGAUAGUUAAGUCAGGGGUGAAAUCCCGAGGCUCAACCUCGGAACUGCCUUCAAAACUGGCGACCUGGACCCAAGUAGAGGCAAGUGGAAUUGCGAGUGUAGAGGUGAAAUUCGUAGAUAUUCGCAGGAACACCAGUGGCGAAGGCGACUUGCUGGACUUGUGGUGACGCUGAGACGCGAAAGCGUGGGGAGCAAACAGGAUUAGAUACCCAAGUAGUCCCUGAGCGGGCUGGCAAGGCGCAU
Molecule: ribosomal RNA, 447 nt
Filed under: uncultured bacterium
Lineage: Bacteria
Description: bacterial SSU rRNA
Rfam family: Bacterial small subunit ribosomal RNA
Source: RNAcentral